Molecule: long non-coding RNA, 1145 nt
Filed under: Heterocephalus glaber (naked mole-rat)
Lineage: Eukaryota; Metazoa; Chordata; Mammalia; Rodentia; Bathyergidae
Description: lncRNA (ENSHGLG00100037557.1)
Source: RNAcentral
GUCCCGAGUUUGAUCCCUGGUACCAAAAAAAACGAAGACCUAGAUUUUAUUCUUUGCCUCCAACAGUCAAUAGGAUUCAAAAAGAGAGAAAACUAUAGUGAAUUAUCACCUGAGAAUGCCAGCCUUCAUUUGAGGCACCCCAGAUGGACCCCAGAUGUCCAUUCCAAGCUCAGUUGUUCCUAGGUGGCUCGUUAUGGCCCUAGUCAUCUUUUCCAAGAAAGAAUUGGGAUAGUCUGGCACUAAAUUGUGGCCUUGAAUCUCCAAAGAUCUGAAAGGAAAGAGGGUUUGCUUAAAAGCUGUAGAAAACCUGCAGAAGGCCUGACUGCCAGUGUCCUGGGCCCGUGGCAGCCUAGAGCCUGACCAAAGCUGUAGAAACAGCACUGCCUGUCCCCAGACCUCCAUGUGGCAGAGGCCGAUGGGGAGGCCAAGUCACGUCCACAUCCCUACAUUCUCCGCAUAAUUCUGCUCCGCUUUGGGCCUCCCCAGCUGCGAUGUCAGUGCACUUUGGAGGAGGGCCUCGUGUCAAGUCGCCUCUGAUUUGAACUAAGAGAGAAACAACACAGGCUGGUUUAGAGUUUGAUGACUUUGAAAGGCAGAGGAAGACAAUUAGCUCUCACUUAAGCCAAGGUUUGUUUAUUUCACUUAGCUUAAGCCAAAUCUAAUGGUUUUCCGAAUUUAGGGAGGGCCUGUACUUGAGCCAUUCACAGAGAGAUACAUUCCUCUCUCCAAAUGCAGGGUUUUCUCCACUCUGGCUUUACAAGGCCUCCUCUUUCAGGCAGAGUUGCUGCUUGGGUAUUGAUGGCCACGCUGCCUUUAUCCGUCUCCAUUGCAUUUCCUUGCGAAUGCACUUAGACUUUCAAUCACCUGACUGCAGUACAAUUGAUUUUUUAAAAAUUGACCACACAUUUUGAUCACCUGAAAUACACACUGUGGAAGGAAGUAUUUUCGCAGUUCACAAAAGCUACAGUCUACUUGGUACAUGGAUUGCGGAUGUGUACUGGGCACCACUGUUUUCAGAAAGUUACUCUUUUUUUUUUCCCACUAGUGUUUGUGAUUUUUAAAACUUGUAAAUGAAUUUUCUUGAAUUAUAUAUUUUUAUUUCCUGUAAAAUUAUGUAUUAUUAAAGGCCAAUUUUAGUGGUUUAA